GACGAACGCUGGCGGCGUGCUUAAUACAUGCAAGUCGAACGGACAGGCCCGGCUCUUGUUGGGUGCUCGAGUGGCGAACAGGUGAGUGACACGUGAGUAACCUGCCCUUGUCUGUGUGAUAAAACCUGGAGACUGGGGCGAAUACCGCGUAGGAGCUCCUGCUGCGUGUUGGUGGUUGGUAAGAUUCGGUGGUUCGGGAUGGACUCGCGGCUUAUCAGCUUGUUGGGGGGGUAGGGGCGUUCCAAGGGUUUGACGGCUAGCCGGCCUGAGAGGGUGACCGGCGACAUUGGGACUGAGAGACGGACCAGACUGCUAUGGGAGGCAGCAGUGGGGAAUAUUGCAGAAUGGGCGGAAGCCUGAGGCAGCAACGCCGCGUGCGGGAUGACGGCCUUCGGGGUGUAAACCGCUUUCGAAUGUGCCGAAGCGGGAUUGACGGUAAUGGGUAAAGAAGCACCGGCUAACUACGUG
RNAcentral lists this ribosomal RNA (468 nucleotides) under uncultured bacterium. RNAcentral describes it as "partial 16S ribosomal RNA". It matches the Rfam family "Bacterial small subunit ribosomal RNA", at positions 28 to 507 of the family's 1533-position model. The record is from RNAcentral.